Molecule: non-coding RNA, 98 nt
Organism: Caenorhabditis elegans
Lineage: Eukaryota; Metazoa; Nematoda; Chromadorea; Rhabditida; Rhabditidae
Source: Ensembl
AAAAUAAGAUGUGCACUUAAUCCUUCUGAUGGGUUUAGUCCCACUUCGCGUUGCCAAUUUCUGUGUGAAAAUGAUGUACUUAUUUCCAACACGCCCAC